Oncorhynchus kisutch (coho salmon) is the source of this 3938-nucleotide non-coding RNA. The record is from the annotation of a RefSeq genome assembly. Lineage: Eukaryota; Metazoa; Chordata; Actinopteri; Salmoniformes; Salmonidae.
AGGAGCGAGCAAUUUCUCUCAACCCUCUGAUGUUCGACAUGUAUACUCCGCUUCUGAUUCUGUGCUACAUGCAUAUUUUGAAAGUUGUAGGGUCCAUCAUGCCGGAGGACUCAACAGUGAUCCAGUAUCCCCCUGUUGUUGAGGAGGUAGUUGGCGGCAACAUCACCAUGAACUGCAUUCUGGAAGGGUUGACUUCUUACUGUUAUACCGUCGCCUGGAUAAGACUGCCCAAACAACCCGGGGCGCUGCGAGUCCUCAAGAACACCAUUAUCAACACCAGAUCUGAGUAUGAAAUCUUCAAGCAUAUGUGCCCAGUGUCCAUCUACAACGUAGCUGUCACCGACUCUGGGAUUUACUACUGUGCUGUCAUAUAUGGCCAGCAGAUCUACUUAGGCAACGGCACCACAGUGAUUGUUAAAGAUGGAACCAAAGCUCCUCCAACCAUUGAAAUCCUGAAACCGCUGAACAGCUACCAUUCCUCUGUCUCUCUCCUGUGUUUGGUGUCAGGAGUGGUCCCGUCUCAAGUCCAUGUGUUCUGGCUCAUAGACGGGAGAGAGGACAGUGGACUUACUGAGUCCACCUGGACAGACAACAGUGAUUCAGCCACAGAGUUCACUAGGAACCAGAUUCUGGUCAAAGCAGAGGAGUGGGACAGAGGAGCAGAAUGCACGUGUGUGGUAGAGUUCGAAGGGCAGUACAUCAACAAAACCGUGCAACACAAUGAUUUCUCCACAAUGUGUUACGCCAUAGUGAGUCUCUACAGGGUUCUGGGAAUUGUGUCCGCUCUUCUUCUUCUCCUUACACUGACUGCACGGGUACAGCUAUCCUGCAAGAGCAACAAUUCAGGCAAGCGUAAAAAAAGCAACAGAAACCCCCCAAACUAAAGAAAAGGAGAGCUUUGGGAUUCUGUCUUCAUUGUGAAAACUGCAGGAAACCAACAUUCAGAAUUUGAGGGCUUUGAGUGAAUCAGAGUGCUUCAUACCAACUAGGAAGACGUUAAGUAUGUAGUACGUUUUCACUGGGUGUCGAAAGGCUAUAGAAUUUUUAAGUGACUUCUUAUAAAAAAAAUCCUUUUCACUUUGCUUUUGAUUUCAUUACAUGAAAAUUGUCAGAUAAGCAAUAUGCAUAAAAAAUAAAAUGUGUUGGAAUAGCCCAAUUCUUCCAUAAAGUGAUAUCCUGAAAGUACUGUAGUGAUUAAAUGUUUUUUUUCCCCUCAUCUUGUGUCACCAUCUCAAAACAUCCAGUAGAUAUCAGUGUUUACUCAAAAUCUACAACCUACCCUUCCUGUCACUUGUGCGUCCAUUGUAGUGACACUGAUUGAAUGAAGAAUAGCGCCGAAGGAGAUGGCUGCCAUUUUAUAAUCCCAUAACCAAUUGUGCUAUUGUGUAUACUUUUUUGAGCUAUUUGUAACUUUUUAAAAAGUAAGCAUUUCACUGUCAGGUAUUCGGCACAUGUGACAAAUUAAAUUUGAUUUGAGAUAUUCUAAAACAUCCGGUAGAAAACUCCAUUAACCAAGUUGUCUGCAUCAACAUUUAAACAAACUAGCCAUCAUUUUUUUUACAAAGUUUUUAUUUCUGUGAUGGGUCUACAUUGCCCCAUGCUGUAUCAUAGUGUAAAAGUGUUUAAUUGUGUUUUUUAUUUUUUACAGUUGACUAAAAUCAGUGUAACCUUUUAUUUAACAAAAAUGACUACUGUACUUUGUAUUGAGAGUAUUAACAUUUCAUUACCUAAAUGGGAAUACUUUUGUUCAGUCUUGCCAUUACUUACUUGAUUUUACCAUGACUUAAUCCAAAUGCAUCAUUUUCAUUAAUUAGCCAGGGUGAUUUAUUUUCCAUUCAGGACUAAGCAGCAGCAUAACUAUUUUCCAACCCUUUAAAAUAAUGUUGUUGUGGAAAAAUGAACUGAUACAAUAAUAACAGUACAUUCCGUCUAUUUUCUGAGUUUCAUUGAUAUCGUCAAAGCUGCUGAGGUUAAGUGAUAGCUGAUAGAAUAUCACGAAAGUACAAAGGUUCAUCUCUCAUAAUGUGCUAUUGGGUGAAAAAAAAGCCUGCAAAUAGAAUUUGCUAGUGGUUUGUUCAUAGCAAGGAACAGAUUUGACCAAAGCUGUGUCUGUCCAUAAGCAUAUCAUACUGAGAAUACCACACCUCGCAAAGAGAGCGAUAGAUAGAUUGAGUGUGUGUGCAGGAGAGCGUUAGGCAGCUAAAGCUUAAACUACUGUGGUAUGUGGUCAGUUUCUGUUCUGAAGGCUACAGUCCUGCACCUGUCACACUUUUUCAUAUGUUACACAAUCUGCAGUCUGUGCCGGAUCAAACAACUCACAAGUGUCAAAAACAGUGAGCCUUCUCAUUUUGGUCAGAGAAACAGGCCGUCCAGAGUUCGUCAAAGUGCGUUUCAGAUUGAGAAUUUGAAUGUAUUUUUUUUAGCAUUCAAGCACCGUUUUUAAACAUGUGUUCAAAUACAUAGGCAGUGUUGGCACCAACAGUUCCAGGAAAAUUGUAAAUUAGAUAAGAGGUAAUGAAAGAGGUAAUAAAAUGAAAACAAAGAAAACAAGAUAUUAAUUUACAAUUAAUCCCUGAGGGUGAGAUAGGAUAGCUAAGAACACUUAUUUCCAAUGUGGUCCUCUGUGUAGGACAAAACCAGGACAAGGUCAAAUUCUGUCGUUCUGCCCCUGAACAACCCACUGUUCCUAGGCCGUCAUUGAAAAUAAGACUUUGUUCUUAUUAACUGACUUGCCUCGUUAAAUAAAGGUACAAAAUAAAUAAAAAUACACAGGAAAACACAUGGGCCUAUAAGCAGCCAAUUAGCCUACACCACAAUAAAUACAUCAUCAAUACAAAAUUCAAGACUAUUUCAGUAAUUUUCCUAUGUAGGCUUGUACACGUUUUCCCACGGAAGGGCUCUAACCUGACCUCUGAAAACAUUUUAGGACUGGGACAGUUUAAUGACUAUUAGGAGGAUUUCCCACAGUUGAAUUACAAUAUUUUAAAAAGAGCUCUGUGUCGCUCUGGGCACUUAGCAAUUGGGGACACUGGCUCUUGCUUUAUACACAAAUACAUACAUAAUAAUCUGAAAACUCUUAUGCAAUUUCUCCUUCCAAAAUAUUAUUGGAUAAUUGUAUUUGGGCGUCUCCCAAACUGGAUGUGGUCCAAAGUCGCAUACUGGACCUCCUGUGGAACGAUCAACACCAGGGAGUUCAUUAUAGGAACAUUUGUUUCUCAAGGAAUCAGAAAUAGGUAUAGCUGUUGCUGUUGCUUUAAAUACAAAAAUGCUUUAACACUUCAUGUGGACUGAAUUGGGGCAGCAAUACUGCAAAUGUAAACCAGGGUCUCAUUUGUUACUAUUCACACCAUAGAAAGGAUAGUCAGUCAAUCUCAAUCAAUACAUUCACAAUGAAGGUAACUGAGUAAUAAUCUAAAACAAUCCUUCUAGGGGUGAGAGUAGGUUUAGCCUCAUUUCAUUGGAGUUUGUUAACAAAUGUAAUCCAUAUAAAAAUGCCAAUCUGUAUUUUACACAAACCACAAGGUAUAUCGCCAAUAAGUACUGUAAUUACACUAUACUUACCAAGUAAUACGCCAGUAUGAGAAAUGAGAAAUUUUCAGAGCAGUAUGUUCGGAUCAUAACACUACGGCCAGGAACCACACCCUAAUAGGGUAUCCCCCCUUAAUCAUAUCACAAUAAACUCUUACCAGUUGAAUGUGGACACAAAUAAGCCUUUCUGUUUUACAACUUUUCUGAAAUCUUGUGUACAAAUAUGCAAAUGAAGUGGUAACUUAUUAAAUAUGCAUAUAUUUGCAUAUCACGCAAAUACAUUUUUCUGGACAGUGGAUAAAGUCAGCCUAAAUAUUUUGGUUUCAUUUUGUUAGGACAAUCCAGGACUGGACUUACACACAGCCGAUUGUAAAUAAAUACUUUAUUUCAUCUUUCUAUUUGUAAAAUAC